CCUCCUGCUCCUGCGGCGCGGACUCCGUCGGUGACUCCCGAGGAGGAGGAGGAGGAGGAGGAAU
RNAcentral lists this microRNA precursor (64 nucleotides) under Myotis lucifugus (little brown bat). RNAcentral describes it as "miRNA (ENSMLUG00000020804.1)". Lineage: Eukaryota; Metazoa; Chordata; Mammalia; Chiroptera; Vespertilionidae. The record is from RNAcentral.